UGAGAGCAACCGCCAAGUACCCCAGCA
This 27-nucleotide non-coding RNA is filed under the name Mus musculus (house mouse). The record is from RNAcentral. Lineage: Eukaryota; Metazoa; Chordata; Mammalia; Rodentia; Muridae.